Oncorhynchus masou masou (cherry salmon) is the source of this 928-nucleotide long non-coding RNA. RefSeq lists it as uncharacterized. NCBI's taxonomy places the organism in Eukaryota, Metazoa, Chordata, Actinopteri, Salmoniformes, Salmonidae. The record is from RefSeq and is a predicted model, not a curated record. The transcript is spliced from 2 exons.
GAGGUGCCUCGCUUAAACAGUUGGCUACUUUCUGAGAAGAAGGGAGUGUGGGGGGUGUUCUAUAAAGCUGCAGUGAUUGGGACGAGACUCCACCAUGCUGUGGCUGUAACCUGUCUGUCGAUGGCAUUGUACCUUGUCUUCUUAAAGUGACAGCGUCAGUCUGGACUGGACUGAGAUGGACUGAUCCAGGGCAGGCUUGGCUGUGCUUUGCAGAGCUGGAUUGGGCUGUACUGGGUUGCCACCCAUGGAAACUUAGGACCGUGUGCCCCCAGAACACCAAUUCAUUCACCCAGUAACCUCAAAGGACAUGUAUAAAGGACAAGCUAAUACUGCCCCCAGGUGGUGAUAAAGAUCCCAGUCACUCUGCACUCUUCUACACCUGCGUGCGUCCCAAUAACAUCUCCUUUCUCCUGAAGUGAGCACUCGUUCGCUACACCCCACAUAUAAAAGCAUUGGAUUGGGGUUGGCAUGGGGCUAGGAAGUUUCCAUAUACCAGUGAUUUCUGUUCAGAGAUUAUGAAGGGGAGUGUUCAAGUGCACACUUGGGGAGAAAGGAGAGACGACUGGGACGCAGGUGUUGUAUCCAUCCCUGCACGACACCACCGUCACCCAGUUUAACCUGUGUUUACUGUACACAUCCCAUUAGAACACGGUUUGGCAAUCUAUUCUCCAGGGGCACAUUUUUGUCUUAGCUCAGCACUAACACAUCAUUUCCCUCCAUUCUUUCCCCCACACCAAAUACACACACAACAAUUUAUAGACAAACACAAACUACUACAUUUCCCCUGCCCAGACCCGCAUGCUCACACACCCAUCCCUAGUGCCUGCAUUGUUUGCCAUAUGGCCUGAAAAGGCACCAUUUUGUUUCUCUGUAGCCCACGCACUUUCAAUAUUGAAAUAAUAAAUCAUCGAUUUUUCCAUUGUGUUAA